Non-coding RNA from Schistosoma curassoni, 45 nucleotides. The record is from Rfam. Lineage: Eukaryota; Metazoa; Platyhelminthes; Trematoda; Strigeidida; Schistosomatidae.
AUCCAGCUGAUGAGUUCAAAAUAAGACGAAACGUGUGUCCUGGAU